UACGUAGGGUGCGAGCGUUGUCCGGAAUUACUGGGCGUAAAGGGCUCGUAGGCGGUUUGUCACGUCGGGAGUGAAAACUCGGGGCUUAACUCCGAGCCUGCUUCCGAUACGGGCUGACUAGAGGUAUGCAGGGGAGAACGGAAUUCCUGGUGUAGCGGUGAAAUGCGCAGAUAUCGUAAGGAAGACCAGUGGCGAAGGCGGGUCCCUGGACAGUUCCUGACGCUGAGGCACGAAGGCCAGGGGAGCAAACGGG
Molecule: ribosomal RNA, 253 nt
Filed under: uncultured bacterium
Lineage: Bacteria
Description: partial 16S ribosomal RNA
Rfam family: Bacterial small subunit ribosomal RNA
Source: RNAcentral